This is a long non-coding RNA of Fukomys damarensis (Damara mole-rat), 3509 nucleotides long. NCBI's taxonomy places the organism in Eukaryota, Metazoa, Chordata, Mammalia, Rodentia, Bathyergidae. The record is from Ensembl.
CGGGGUCCGAGCAACGCGGCCCAGGGCCCGGGAGAGCGCGCUGGGACGCGCGGGGGGUGGGGGUGAGAGGUCCCCUCAGCUCCCGGCCACCAGGCAAAUUCGCUCGACCCCAGGGUGCGUUUCAGUCAGCUGCUGGCCAAUUCCGUAGCAGAGCCCACCAGCUCGGCCGCCCUCGAGGCCCUCAGCCCCCACCCCCACGCCCAGGCUACUGGGGUUUGGGGAACAGAGCAGGGCUGCUCGGAAGAGGGGUUCCUAGUUCGUCUGGACUUGCAGUAGAUGUAGACAGGCAGAUUCCUGGGGCAAGAGGAAAAUCAGAGGAACACUGCAGUAGAGUCUGCCCGGAGUUCAGGUCCCAGCUCCAACACUUAGGACACUUCCUGUUCUUCCUCUAUAAAACAGGGACAGUACAGAAGGAUAAUCGCUUGUCUACCUCCUCCAGCUCCUGGCCCCGGAGGGACCCAUCCUACCAUGAGAAGCCAGCCCUCCUCACCUCUGGAAGGAGUGCACUGACUCUCCUCCUAUCUUUACGCACAGUAAAGGUGAGUGUGUUGUGAUAGGUUUGUUUCAGGUUUGUGUCCAUGAGGGUGGGUGUUCCAGGGUUGGGAGGAAAUGCAGGUCUAAUUCUGGUCUAGUGUGUCCAGGGUGUACAGGAUGGUCUUCCAGUCCUCUCCCUAUCCCACCUCCUUCCCAUCAAGCAGUUAGACUCUGCUGGCAAAACUCAGGAGCAGUGGCUCUCACAUGCUGAAAGUCUUCCCCCCAGCUACCACCCCCCCAUCUAUUCACAACCAGUGUCCUUCAGGUUGUCUACAUUCAGUGCCUGUGCAUCCUCCUUGGCACAGCUGCACACCCUGACCUCCGUGAGUAGACCAACGGCCCACUGCUAAUCCCAGGCACAGCUUUUCCUGGGCCUACAGGGCUUUGAACACUCCCUCCCUCUACCACACCUUCCCCUGGCUUCCCCCUCCUGAGUGGCUGGCCUUCUCCAUCUCUUCCAGGGGUGUUCUGCUACUGCCCAGCCCUGAGUAUAGGCCCUCCUUCGGGCUCAUUGGUGGACACUCUCCUCUUCUUUCAGUAACAGUGGCCCAGGGUCCGUGGGCUGAUACCACCUCAGGAUCUCAAUCCUGGCUCUCUUCCCCAUCCCAGGCUCACAUCUGCCUGCUGGCAUCUCUGCUCACUGCUCCAAAGGCUUCUCAUGCUCAGAAUGCCUGAAGGAACCCUAACCCUUCCCUGAAUCUGUAUCAGCACCUUCACCCAGCAUGUCACCCAAAGGAAAGCACUGGCGUCAUUCCCGACCCUGGGAGUCCCUGCACCAGAGCACUACCUUUGACAUGCCUGCUUCUCCCCACCUGCUGCCACUCUGGGGCAGAGCUACAACACUAAAAGUGUUGCCCCAAAGUCUUCUAAGGGUUCCUCGGCCACCUUUCUAAGAGGACCAUGUGCUCCUUGCUUCAGGCCCUUGCGCAUCUCUCCUCCACUGCUGGAAAGCAGUCUGGACCCUGCACAUGCUCUGUACUGACUGUCCAUCUCCAGCCCCUCUGACUUUGUGCUUUCACCCUGACUGAUGGUCCUGGGACUAGGUGGCCCAUAGUUGACCAGCUCCUUAAUUUGCUCUGCCUCCCUAAAUGCCCUCAUUCUCAGGUUCCUCUGGCCAAAGGCUGGGCUGACCCGGGAUACCCCAAGCUCACAUUCAAAGACUCAGACCAGAACCAGCUGCUCGACGCCAUAAAUGGGGAUUAGACACCCCCCUUUGAGGCGGGCGGGUGGGCUGUGAGAAGAGUUGGUUUGGUAUAGAUUUUAUGGCAGGAUCACAUUUCCUCAUCAGACCCCCCUCUGAAGCCAGCCAAGGGCAGGUCAGGGGCAGGGGACUGGGAACCUGAGCUGCUCCAUCAGCCCAGAGCACAGGGUUACUGGCACAGGAGGGAGCCUGGCUGGGAGUCAGGGGCCCUGAUUUCCAGCCUCCUCUCUGCUGCCCACCUGCUGUGUGAACUGGGGCAAGUCCUUCCAUUCUCUGGUCUGUGAAACAGGGGCUCUAGAUUAAAUGCGCUCUUAGGCUGGUUCCAUUUUCAGGCCCUCUGGCCCUCUCCCAGUCCUAGCCAUAACAAAACUGUUAAACUUCCCAGAAGACUUCUGAGCUUUCUUAUGCUCACAAACUCAUGAAUUAGGGUGGCCAUGUGUAAUACAGGCUACCAAGUUAAAUUUUAAUUUCAGAUAAUUUUCACUAUAAAUAUGUCCUAAGUUUUGUGUAGACUUAUGUGUUUAUAUUAAAAACCAUUCCUUGUUCAUCUGAAAUUCAUAUUUAUUUGAAUGCCCUGUAUUUUUCAUUUGUUGAAUCUGGCGCCCUGAUCUUAUAUACACUGGAGCUGGAGUUUACCGGACUGCAGCAACUCAUGGACCUUCUCACUGGAGUUUACAAAACUGUAGCUUGUGGGCCUUCUAUGCAAAGCAGGUCAGAUGUUGACAGGUUAAGUGUCCUUGGGCAGAGAUCUGUGAUCAGAUGCCAGUUGAGAUUUUGUGGAAGGGUGUUCCAGGCAAAGAACACAGCAUAUUUAGAGGUCUAGAGACAGGCUGGUGUUGGACAUGUUCCAAAACAGGCAGUGGGGGACCAGUGUGUGGGAUGUAGGCUGUAAGUGGCAGGAAAUGCAGAUGGAAAGAUUAGUUGGAGUCAGAUCAGGCUGUAUACAAUCUGUGUUGCUGUUGCUAUUAGGCAAGGGGGCCCAGAGGAAGGUCUGAGUUAAAGCAGAAUCACAACCAGAGACCAAGGUACAGAGAGCAGAAUCCAGCUGCCCAGAGAUUAGGAGGAGGAAAACCUGCAGAAGGGACCUCCAAGGACCAUUCAGGAAAUUUGAUCUCAGAUCUGGUCUGUGCAUGGAAUAAACAAUAAGUAGCAGUCAGUAAAUGGUAGCUGUUGGGUUGCCGUUAUGAUCAGAUGCUCAGUAAAUGCUGUGAUUUGGUACCAGCUGACCACAUGCCCCAGACUGUGCAUGGGAUUAGAGCCACUUCUUGCCAGCUAGGAACCUAGAUAUUAUGGAGCAACAACAGCUGGCAGAUUCCCAAACUCUGCUCAGCUUUGCCACUCUCCCCUCCUCCUCUGUCUACUAUCAAUGAAAGGUGAACCACCAGGGAGAAUAUUAUGGACAAAGGGCAUUUCAGGGAGCCAGUAAAAACUAUCUAAGGCAGAAGGGCCACUUUCUAAGAAUCCCUGCAAGAUGCACUUGAACAAAUAUUUCAUGUCAUUCUCACAACUCUAGAAAGUGGACAUUGAAGCCCCAUUUUAGAGAUGUGAAUAUCAAGGCUUGGAGAGGAAAAGUCUUUUGCCUGAGGUUCUUAACCAAUAGUAGAAGAGGCCAAGUUUAAAUGUAAGAGUUCCUUUCCUUACAUGAGACAGCAUCUAUGGAUCAGAGCAACAAAAACCAGACCCAAUUUCUGCUUCAGUCCACUGCAACCUAUGUCUGUUGGGUCUAUCUAGCCUCCUAGAUCCCAAAGCUCCCUCCAUCUGGUCAAUGAAAUCC